This 892-nucleotide ribosomal RNA is filed under the name uncultured Gammaproteobacteria bacterium. Its description in RNAcentral is "partial 16S ribosomal RNA". The stretch from base 8 to 554 matches the Rfam family "Bacterial small subunit ribosomal RNA", at positions 9 to 546 of the family's 1533-position model. The record is from RNAcentral. Lineage: Bacteria; Pseudomonadati; Pseudomonadota; Gammaproteobacteria.
UUUGCUNGAGUAUGAUCCUGGCUCAGAUUGAACGCUGGCGGCACGCCUAACACAUGUCUUUUUGAGCGGUAACAUGAUGUGUAGCAAUACACAUUGAUGACGAGCGGCGGACGGGUGAGGAACACGUAGGAACUUGCCCAGAAGAGGGGGAUAACCAAGGGAAACUUUGGCUAAUACCGCAUAAUACUCGGAAGAGGAAAGCUUUUGAGAGUAAUCUUGAAGGUGCUUUUGGAGAGGCCUGCGUCCGAUUAGCUAGUUGGUGUUGUAAUAGCUCACCAAGGCGAUGAUCGGUAACUGGUCUGAGAGGACGGCCAGUCACACUGGGACUGAGACACGGCCCAGACUCCUACGGGAGGCAGCAGUGGGGAAUAUUGGACAAUGGGGGAGACCCUGAUCCAGCGAUGCCGCGUGAGUGAAGAAGGCCUUCGGGUCGUAAAGCUCUUUAGGUUGGGAAGAANGUAUUAUGCUGAGUGCUACUUGGACGUACUGACCGAAUCAGCACCGGCAAACUCUGUGGCAUGAGCGGNGGUAAACAGAGGGGGCGAGCGUUAAUCGGAGGUUCUGGGGCGUAANNGGCCCCAAUGCAGUGAAAGGANNNNNAGUGGAAGCCCCGGGGAGANGGGGGGNNNNCGGGCGGCGGNNNCGGAACGGAGUUCGAGCGGGGGCGGCGGACUCCCGCUGUGGGACGCGANNNNCGGGUGUGAGUUAGAGGACGGNNCGCGGGGCGGUCUCGUCGGUGCACUGNCNAGCGCGCGGNGGGCCGCNNNNNUGACGCGCGGCGCCUGAGUNNNGAGGUGGACACAGGCAGGACGGCGGACGNGAGGACGCGGCUUGCGGGGUGGNUNGGNGCGGAAGGAGCCUCUCGCGUGCCNNNGCGCAAGGGNCUUCGUGG